Molecule: ribosomal RNA, 484 nt
Filed under: uncultured bacterium
Lineage: Bacteria
Description: partial 16S ribosomal RNA
Rfam family: Bacterial small subunit ribosomal RNA
Source: RNAcentral
AUUGAACGCUGGCGGCAGGCCUAACACAUGCAAGUCGAGCGGAUGAAUGGAGCUUGCUCCUGGAUUCAGCGGCGGACGGGUGAGUAAUGCCUAGGAAUCUGCCUGGUAGUGGGGGAUAACGUCCGGAAACGGGCGCUAAUACCGCAUACGUCCUGAGGGAGAAAGUGGGGGAUCUUCGGACCUCACGCUAUCAGAUGAGCCUAGGUCGGAUUAGCUAGUUGGUGGGGUAAAGGCCUACCAAGGCGACGAUCCGUAACUGGUCUGAGAGGAUGAUCAGUCACACUGGAACUGAGACACGGUCCAGACUCCUACGGGAGGCAGCAGUGGGGAAUAUUGGACGAUGGGCGAAAGCCUGAUCCAGCCAUGCCGCGUGUGUGAAGAAGGUCUUCGGAUUGUAAAGCACUUUAAGUUGGGAGGAAGGGCAGUAAGUUAAUACCUUGCUGUUUUGACGUUACCAACAGAAUAAGCACCGGCUAACUUCGUG